This 250-nucleotide ribosomal RNA is filed under the name uncultured bacterium. RNAcentral describes it as "partial 16S ribosomal RNA". It matches the Rfam family "Bacterial small subunit ribosomal RNA", at positions 334 to 601 of the family's 1533-position model. The record is from RNAcentral.
AAUGCCUACGGGAGGCAGCAGUGGGGGAUAUUGCACAAUGGGGGGAACCCUGAUGCAGCGACGCCGCGUGGGUGAAGAAGCGCCUCGGCGCGUAAAGCCCUGUCAGCAGGGAAGAAAAUGACGGUACCUGAAGAAGAAGCCCCGGCUAACUAAGAACCAGCAGCCGCGGUAAUACGUAGGGGGCCAGCGUUAUCCGGAUUUACUGGGGGUAAAGGGGGCGCAGACGGCGAUGCAAGCCAGGAGUGAAAGC